RNAcentral lists this ribosomal RNA (779 nucleotides) under uncultured bacterium. RNAcentral's name for it is "bacterial SSU rRNA". It matches the Rfam family "Bacterial small subunit ribosomal RNA", at positions 8 to 796 of the family's 1533-position model. The record is from RNAcentral.
AGAGUUUGAUCCUGGCUCAGAACGAACGUUGGCGGCGUGGAUUAGGCAUGCAAGUCGAACGAAUCCCCAGGGGCUUGCUCUUGGGGGGAAGUGGCGAAAGGGGCAGUAAUGCGUGGGUAACCUACCCCGGGGACCGGGAUAGCCUUUCUAACGAAAGGGUAAUACCGGGCGAUGUGGCGGAGGGGCAUCUCUUUGCCAUGAGAUGAAUUUCGCCUCGGGAGGGGCUCACGUGCUAUUAGCUAGUUGGCGGGGUAACGGCCCACCAAGGCUAAGAUGGCUAGCGGGUGUGAGAGCACGACCCGCGCCACUGGCACUGAGACACUGGCCAGACUCCUACGGGAGGCUGCAGUCGAGGAUCUUCGGCAAUGGGCGCAAGCCUGACCGAGCGACGCCGCGUGAGCGACGAAGGCCUUCGGGUUGUAAAGCUCGAAAGUAUCAAGGAAAGCCGAAAGGUUUGACCGCGAUACAGUAAACACGGGCUAAGUUCGUGCCAGCAGCCGCGGUAAGACGAACCGUGCGAACGUUGUUCGGAAUCACUGGGCUUAAAGGGCGCGUAGGCGGGCCGCAAAGUCAGGGGUGAAAUACUCCAGCUCAACUGGAGAACAGCCUUUGAUACUGGCGGCCUCGAGUAAGGUAGGGGCAUGCGGAACAUUGGGUGGAGCGGUGAAAUGCGUUGAUAUCCAAUGGAACUCCGGUGGCGAAAGCGGCGUGCUGGACCUUAACUGACGCUGAUGCGCGAAAGCCAGGGGAGCAAACGGGAUUAGAUACCCCAGUAGUCC